Molecule: ribosomal RNA, 500 nt
Filed under: uncultured bacterium
Lineage: Bacteria
Description: partial 16S ribosomal RNA
Rfam family: Bacterial small subunit ribosomal RNA
Source: RNAcentral
AUUGAACGCUGGCGGCAUGCCUUACACAUGCAAGUCGAACGGUAACGGGUCCUUCGGGAUGCCGACAAGUGGCGAACGGGUGAGUAAUAUAUCGGAACGUGCCCAGUAGUGGGGGAUAACUGCUCGAAAGAGCAGCUAAUACCGCAUACGACCUGAGGGUGAAAGGGGGGGAUCGCAAGACCUCUCGCUAUUGGAGCGGCCGAUAUCAGAUUAGCUAGUUGGUGGGGUAAAGGCCUACCAAGGCAACGAUCUGUAGUUGGUCUGAGAGGACGACCAGCCACACUGGGACUGAGACACGGCCCAGACUCCUACGGGAGGCAGCAGUGGGGAAUUUUGGACAAUGGGCGCAAGCCUGAUCCAGCAAUGCCGCGUGCAGGAAGAGGGCCUUCGGGUUGUAAACUGCUUUUGUCAGGGAAGAAAUCUUCUGGGCCAAUACCCCGGGAGGAUGACGGUACCUGAAGAAUAAGCACCGGCUAACUACGUGCCAGCAGCCGCCGUAA